RNAcentral lists this ribosomal RNA (303 nucleotides) under Triticum aestivum (bread wheat). RNAcentral's name for it is "partial small subunit ribosomal RNA". Lineage: Eukaryota; Viridiplantae; Streptophyta; Magnoliopsida; Poales; Poaceae. The record is from RNAcentral.
AUGGAUCGGUCGAAGGAGUGGUGGCAGAAGGCGGUGGUUGUGCCGGUGAGGCGCGCGUGGGUCGUCGUCGCCGCGCGCCUGCGUCGCAAGAAACAGCAUGAUGGCCGGGGCGGCGCGCUGGUGAAGCUCCACGACGACGUGCAGACGUGCGCGUACGAGGACGUGCAGGUCAUGUGGGAGAUGCUGCAGCGCUCCGAGACGGGGAAGAUGAUGGCCGGGGCGCCGCCGCCCAAGGGCUCCGCGCUGGUCUGGCUCAGCCCUCGCCGCCGCCGCCACUCCAUCGACCUCCGGCCGCGGUGCUGA